AAAUUCAAAAUGAAUCAAAACUUUCAACAACGGAUCUCUUGGUUCUGGCAUCGAUGAAGAACGCAGCGAAAUGCGAUAAGUAAUGUGAAUUGCAGAAUUCAGUGAAUCAUCGAAUCUUUGAACGCACAUUGCGCCCGCCAGUAU
Molecule: ribosomal RNA, 144 nt
Filed under: Trichoderma asperellum
Lineage: Eukaryota; Fungi; Ascomycota; Sordariomycetes; Hypocreales; Hypocreaceae
Description: 5.8S ribosomal RNA
Rfam family: 5.8S ribosomal RNA (bases 19-144)
About the family: 5.8S ribosomal RNA (5.8S rRNA) is a component of the large subunit of the eukaryotic ribosome. It is transcribed by RNA polymerase I as part of the 45S precursor that also contains 18S and 28S rRNA.
Source: RNAcentral